This 245-nucleotide ribosomal RNA is filed under the name uncultured bacterium. Its description in RNAcentral is "partial small subunit ribosomal RNA". It matches the Rfam family "Bacterial small subunit ribosomal RNA", at positions 26 to 285 of the family's 1533-position model. The record is from RNAcentral.
AGAAUCAACGCUGGCGGCGUGCCUAACACAUGCAAGUCGAACGAGAAAGUGGAGCAAUCCAUGAGUAAAGUGGCGCACGGGUGAGUAACACGUGACUAACCUACCCUUGAGUGGGGGAUAACCUAGAGAAAUCUGGGCUAAUACCGCAUAAUACCUUCGGGUCAAAGGAGCAAUUCGCUUAAGGAGGGGGUCGCGGCAGAUUAGCUAGUUGGCGGGGUAAUGGCCCACCAAGGCAGUGAUCUGUA